RNAcentral lists this ribosomal RNA (497 nucleotides) under uncultured bacterium. RNAcentral's name for it is "partial 16S ribosomal RNA". It matches the Rfam family "Bacterial small subunit ribosomal RNA", at positions 28 to 507 of the family's 1533-position model. The record is from RNAcentral.
GACGAACGCUGGCGGCGUGCCUAAUACAUGCAAGUAGAACGCUGAAGCUUGGUGCUUGCACCGAGCGGAUGAGUUGCGAACGGGUGAGUAACGCGUAGGUAACCUGCCUGGUAGCGGGGGAUAACUAUUGGAAACGAUAGCUAAUACCGCAUAAGAGUAGAUGUUGCAUGACAUUUGCUUAAAAGGUGCAAUUGCAUCACUACCAGAUGGACCUGCGUUGUAUUAGCUAGUUGGUGAGGUAACGGCCCACCAAGGCAACGAUACAUAGCCGACCUGAGAGGGUGAUCGGCCACACUGGGACUGAGACACGGCCCAGACUCCUACGGGAGGCAGCAGUAGGGAAUCUUCGGCAAUGGACGGAAGUCUGACCGAGCAACGCCGCGUGAGUGAAGAAGGUUUUCGGAUCGUAAAGCUCUGUUGUAAGAGAAGAACGAGUGUGAGAGUGGAAAGUUCACACUGUGACGGUAUCUUACCAGAAAGGGACGGCUAACUACGUG